UCGGUGUUUGCUUUGUGUCUUUUCCCCUGCUUAUUUCCCGAUUAACGCUCCUCUCCAAACGGUGACAAAAUUCUCCACAAAGAGCCAGAAAAAAAGAGGAAUUGUGACUUUCAUCUCUAGGCCAGAAAGCUCUUUAAACUUCCAGCGCUGAGCUCAAAUCCAUUUCUAACAAGGUUUCUGAGGAGUAGAGUGCACACAACUUACUGCAAACUGCUGCCUGAAGUUAUAAAUUAAACUAGUCAGGUAUUUUUCCAGGGAGCGUACAAAUUAGUCCAUGUUGACAGAUGUUUGUCACUUACUAACUUCUUUCCAAGUUUUUUUUUUCCUCCUCUAAGCCUUGUUUCGAGCUUGCUUUGUUGUUUUAAAAUAUGCAUGUCUCUCAGGAAUGCCAGUCACGAGUCCAAACUUUGUGUCCAACCUCCCACAUGAAAUGAUCCUUUUAUAGGGAACCCGAUAUGUCUCAAUCUGCACUUCACUCAAAGCCUCUGCAUAUGGGGCACUGGUCCCUGCUCAAAAAUAACUCAGCAGAAACGCCUUUCCACCUAAAAAAAAAAAUCCCCACGAAUGACUCCCAAAGAAGAAAUAUAACUCCCAUAAUUAAAGGAGGCAGCGGUCAGAGGGGAAUGCAGCUUGGGGGAAAAAACAGUAAGAGUUUUAUUUCUUUUCUGAUUGCACUUGGGCUGUCAUUAACAGCAGGUUUAUCAACACAAGGCUCUCACAGCACAGCCUGAAGACCAGAGGAGAAGGACGAAGCGAGAUUCAGGAACUACAGGCCAACGGCGAGAAAGAAAGCCCUUUGAAGUAGUUCCGCCACCAGAAGGCUCGGCUCCUUCCACUCAGAGUGCAACAGCUCUUGAUGGGAGCGGAGAGGCAGGUUAUUUUUCCCAGGCUGAGAAGCAGGUGAGAGUGCUGGUGCUCCGGGCUGCGUGUUCACACCAAGCGUUUGAAAGUCCCUGUUGCUUCAAACCACUUUGCGACAGCGCUGUCAGGAGCCAGGGACGGGGGUCCUUAAGCUGAGGCUUCUCGUUCGGAUUUAGUGGCAAUCAUGGGACGCUCUUGAUCAGAAAGCCCCCGUACCAGAGCUGCGCAACUUUUCAGAGCAGCUCCCGUCUGCUCUUCUAACAUGAUCCUGCCUGGAUCGUCCCUCUCGGGCGCAUUUCCAGGGAAAUAUUACGCAGAAUGUUACCAGAAAUGCGCAGGUAUCUUUAAAAAGAAAGAAAGGGGGAGAGAGAGAUCCCUUUAAAAGCGCAUUUUCUAUCCAAUAGCUAGCGGAACCCAGGCGCAUAGUAUGAAACCAAAACCACAAUCGCUACAGCAGGGCCACAGCACGUAGUCACUAUUACUCCGGCCUUAUACACGCAUUUAAACCUUAUUUGUGCUCUUUUUAAACCUGCUUAACCACCAAGAUUCGCACGCUGUCUGCAGGUCUGAACGAUGCUCCGGGACUAGGACUAUGCAGAUUUCUUUUUUUUUAAAUGAAAUCAAAAUAAUGGCCGUUUUUUCUAACUGCAUUUGCAUUUUUGGCCUUUUUUUUCUUAUCAGUUUUUACUGGGGGUCUGCGUUCAUCACUAACCCCAUUCUUCUUCCUAACAAUGCAUUUUUAUCAAGUUCGAAAUCCAUAGUGAGCCAUAACUGGAGCAUGCGGUUAUUGUGCAGCUGAUGGCCCAGAACAAAUCCUGUUGCUCAGAAAAAAUCAUUUUGUGCAUAUCUAUGUCAUAUCUAUGGCAUAAAUAUGAAAAUUAUGUGCGUGUGCGCGCCGGCACACAGAGUGCGGGUGGGAGAAAACACAUAAGGAAUAAAAGCCGGCUGAACAUGUAAAAUCAAACCCACCAGUUACUAUUCACUUGAGGAGUCUCCAGAUUGUCUGAAUUUCCCCAUUUUUGUUAUUGAAGCCACAAAGUUGAGUUACAGUACUUAAACCGGGGAAAUUUAGCAAUGAGAUAAACCUGGCUGUCUAACCCCACUUUGAAGUAAUGCUGGUGGGUCUAAAAUCCAGAUCUACAUGUUAAUCUCUAGUUUUGCCUUCAAACGGAAUUCAGUGACAAAGAGCUUGGAAAGAUUUUGCAUCUAUUCAAGAGGCACAAAAUCUUUAAUUUUCUGAGGAGUAAAAACUCCCCAAGAAACUUCAUAUAGCUUCUUAGGUUUUGCUUAGCAUACGUGAUAAAACAUUGAUUGUCGCAGUUUGGUGACCCAUGAAAUUUGGGGGUUAGUUUUCUCUUCAGACCAGAGCAUAUAAUUAUGCAAAUAAAGAGCUGUCACUGAUCUAGUGAAAUACUCACAAGCACAUGCAAUCCCAAAUGGAACAGAAAAGUGAAAAUGUGUGGCAUUGCGAUGGUACCACGAUAAAUGCCAUCUCCUGCAAAGUUUCUCGAGAAGUUCAUCUCUUCACGCUUUGUCGACUAUUUCAACUUAAUUUACAACAUACUUUAUAACAAAUGCUAUAUAUAUGUGUGUUUCAGAUGCAUGCCAGUAUAAAAUGUACACUGCAUAGUUCUUGGAAGGCUAUUUUAAUUUUGGUAGCUAGAAAACAUAGCGCAUUGCAGGAGGAUCUUGGCUAUCUAUGGCAGCUUCCAUUUGUAGGUUUGAGGGCAAUUCUUAGAGAGACCAAAGCCGGGAUCGUCUGGAAGCCCCACGUUUCCCUUAAUCAAGACCAAGGGGAUAAAUCUAAACUGCUGUCUAGAUCCAAGGUGCUGAGUAGCGGAUAAACAGCGGACGCUCCAUCCACACCAGUGCUGCAUUUCAUACGAAAAGUUUCCCCCCGCAACUUUAAAUGCUCGCGCAGAGCCUGCCGGAUUGUGUGGCCAGGCACAUCGCACUUCGGGGCACAGGGUAAUAGCAGGGCCUCUUUCUCCUUCCCAGUACAGCCGUGCUAAAUUUCCCCAUCGGAUGUAAGAUCUGGGGGAGAAGUGGGGACCUCAGCCUUCUGAUACUCUUAGAUCCAGGGCUCAUUUGUGACAAAAUAAUAAGCCCCCUUCGCAUCCAACCCUGCUCUUACAUCGUUUUGGCAUUUGGGUCUCUCGGUCCCACAGUUACCAGUCCUCAGUCUGUCUAAUAUUGUCAGAUGUCAUGGAGCUUCCCAGUGAUGAAAUCUGAGAAGGCUCAUGUCAGACCUCUGACUGCUAAAGACAUCACUACAUGAAAGAUCAGUGGUGUGAAACUUUAAAAAUAUCGAUCCAAAUGAAUCAAUUAAAUCAACAUUCAUCCCUCCUAAGUGCGGUUUAAGACUAUCAUUGUUACCUUUUUACACUACACAGAUUUGGAGAUAAACGCUGGAAUGCUUUGAUGGUUUCAUCUCGCCUAGAAACACUGUUAAUCGACUUUGUGUUAUUUUCCCCCUUUCAACAGCUUACCUCCCCGCGUACAUUCUUCACAUAUAGGACUGUCCAAGACUGCUCCUUCCAAUCUAACACUGGAUAACAAAGCUGAUUCUGUAGCGAGGAGGGGGUGAAGCUUUGUUAGGUGUUGAUUAAAACUCUUUUUUCCCCAGCCUCAAACUGAUCUUUUUUUUUUUUUUUUGAGAGAGAGAGAUUAAUGGAAUAUCAGUUAAAAGGAAGAGGAA
Long non-coding RNA from Gavialis gangeticus (Gharial), 3559 nucleotides. RefSeq lists it as uncharacterized. The transcript has 2 exons. The record is from RefSeq and is a predicted model, not a curated record. Lineage: Eukaryota; Metazoa; Chordata; Crocodylia; Gavialidae.